GAUGAACGCUGGCGGCGUGCCUAAUACAUGCAAGUCGAGCGAACAGACGAGGAGCUUGCUCCUCUGACGUUAGCGGCGGACGGGUGAGUAACACGUGGAUAACCUACCUAUAAGACUGGGAUAACUUCGGGAAACCGGCGCUAAUACCGGAUAAUCUAUUGAACCGCAUGGUUCAAUAGUGAAAGACGGUUUUGCUGUCACUUAUCGAUGGAUCCGCGCCGCAUUAGCUAGUUGGUAAGGUAACGGCUUACCAAGGCGACGAUGCGUAGCCGACCUGAGAGGGUGAUAGGCCACACUGGAACUGAGACACGGUCCAGACGCCUACGGGAGGGAGCAGUAGGGAAUCUUCCGCAAUGGGCGAAAGCUUGACGGAGCAACGCCGCGUGAGUGAUGAAGGUCUUCGGAUCGUAAAAAUCUGAUAUUAGGGAAGAACAAAUGUGGAAGUAACUAUGCACGUCUUGACGGUACCUAAUCAGAAAGCAACGGCUAACUACGUG
Molecule: ribosomal RNA, 497 nt
Filed under: uncultured bacterium
Lineage: Bacteria
Description: partial 16S ribosomal RNA
Rfam family: Bacterial small subunit ribosomal RNA
Source: RNAcentral